Molecule: ribosomal RNA, 460 nt
Filed under: uncultured bacterium
Lineage: Bacteria
Description: partial 16S ribosomal RNA
Rfam family: Bacterial small subunit ribosomal RNA
Source: RNAcentral
CCUACGGGAGGCUGCAGUGAGGAAUAUUGGUCAAUGGACGAGAGUCUGAACCAGCCAAGUAGCGUGAAGGAUGACUGCCCUAUGGGUUGUAAACUUCUUUUAUAUGGGAAUAAAAUGUUCCACGUGUGGGAUUUUGUAUGUACCAUAUGAAUAAGGAUCGGCUAACUCCGUGCCAGCAGCCGCGAUAAUACGGGGGAUCCGAGCGUUAUCCGGAUUUAUUGGGUUUAAAGGGAGCGUAGGUGGAUUGUUAAGUCAGUUGUGAAAGUUUGCGGCUCAACCGUAAAAUUGCAGUUGAAACUGGCAGUCUUGAGUACAGUAGAGGUGGGCGGAAUUCGGGGUGUAGCGGUGAAAUGCUUAGAUAUCACGAAGAACUCCGAUUGCGAAGGCAGUUCACUGGACUGCAACUGACACUGAGGCUCGAAAGUGUGGGUAUCAAACAGGAUUAGAUACCCCAGUAGUC